UUUUUUCCUGUAGCAAUACAGGGAAAAGUCUAGCGGCGAACGGGUGCUUAACACGUGGGCAAUCUGCCGAGAAGUGGGGGAUAGCUCGCCGAAAGGCGAAUUAAUACCGCAUGUGAUGAGAGUGGACAUCCAUUCAAAAUCAAAGUCGGGGCAACCUGACGCUUCUUGAGGAGCCCGCGGCCUAUCAGCUAGUUGGUGAGGUAACGGCCCACCAAGGCUUAGACGGGUAGCUGGUCUGAGAGGACGACCAGCCACACUGGGACUGAGACACGGCCCAGACACCUACGGGUGGCAGCAGUCGAGAAUUUUUCUCAAUGGGGGAAACCCUGAAGGAGCGACGCCGCGUGGAGGAUGAAGGUCUUCGGAUUGUAAACUCCUGUCAUUGGGGAACAAUGCGUAAAUAUUAACUGUAUUUGCGUUGAUAGUACCCGAAGAGGAAGAGACGGCUAACUCUGUGCCAGCAGCCGCGGUAAUACAGAGGUCUCAAGCGUUGUUCGGAUUCAUUGGGCGUAAAGGGUGCGUAGGCGGCGCGGUAAGUCGGGUGUGAAAUCUCGGAGCUUAACUCCGAAACUGCAUUCGAUACUGCCGUGCUUGAGGACUGGAGAGGAGACUGGAAUUUACGGUGUAGCGGUGAAAUGCGUAGAUAUCGUAAGGAAGACCAGUGGCGAAGGCGGGUCUCUGGACAGUUCCUGACGCUGAGGCACGAAGGCCAGGGGAGCAAACGGGAUUAGAUACCCCGGUAGUCCUGGCAGUAAACGGUGCACGUUUGGUGUGGGAGGAUUCGACCCCUUCUGCGCCGGAGCUAACGCGUUAAACGUGCCGCCUGGGGAGUACGGUCGCAAGAUUAAAACUC
This 853-nucleotide ribosomal RNA is filed under the name uncultured Verrucomicrobiae bacterium. Its description in RNAcentral is "bacterial SSU rRNA". It matches the Rfam family "Bacterial small subunit ribosomal RNA", at positions 67 to 902 of the family's 1533-position model. The record is from RNAcentral. Lineage: Bacteria; Pseudomonadati; Verrucomicrobiota; Verrucomicrobiia.